RNAcentral lists this ribosomal RNA (310 nucleotides) under uncultured bacterium. RNAcentral's name for it is "bacterial SSU rRNA". It matches the Rfam family "Bacterial small subunit ribosomal RNA", at positions 30 to 334 of the family's 1533-position model. The record is from RNAcentral.
AUUGAACGCUGGCGGCAGGCCUAACACAUGCAAGUCGAACGGUAACAGGAAGAAGCUUGCUUCUUUGCUGACGAGUGGCGGACGGGUGAGUAAUGUCUGGGAAACUGCCUGAUGGAGGGGGAUAACUACUGGAAACGGUAGCUAAUACCGCAUAACGUCGCAAGACCAAAGAGGGGGACCUUCGGGCCUCUUGCCAUCGGAUGUGCCCAGAUGGGAUUAGCUAGUAGGUGGGGUAACGGCUCACCUAGGCGACGAUCCCUAGCUGGUCUGAGAGGAUGACCAGCCACACUGGAACUGAGACACGGUCCAG